Molecule: ribosomal RNA, 441 nt
Filed under: uncultured bacterium
Lineage: Bacteria
Description: partial 16S ribosomal RNA
Rfam family: Bacterial small subunit ribosomal RNA
Source: RNAcentral
CCUACGGGUGGCAGCAGUGGGGAAUAUUGCACAAUGGGGGAAACCCUGAUCCAGCAACGUCGCGUGAGUGAAGAAGUAUUUCGGUAUGUACAGCUCUAUCAGCAGGGAAGAAGAAAGACGGUACCUGAGUAAGAAGCCACGGCUAACUACGUGCCAGCAGCCGCGGUAAUACGUAGGGGGCAAGCGUUAUCCGGAAUUACUGGGUGGAACGGGAGCGUAGACGGUUAUGUAAGUCUGGAGUGAAAGGCGGGGGCCCAACCCCCGGACUGCAUUGGAAACUAUGUGACUGGAGUGCAGGAGAGGUAAGCGGAAUUCCUAGUGUAGCGGUGAAAUGCGUAGAUAUUAGGAGGAACACCAGUGGCGAAGGCGGCUCACUAGACUGUAACUGACGUUGAGGCUCGAAAGCGUGGGGAGCAAACAGGAUUAGAUACCCCAGUAGUC